GGAAUAUUGCACAAUGGGGGAAACCCUGAUGCAGCGACGCCGCGUGAGCGAUGAAGUAUUUCGGUAUGUAAAGCUCUAUCAGCAGGGAAGAAAAUGACGGUACCUGACUAAGAAGCCCCGGCUAACUACGUGCCAGCAGCCGCGGUAAUACGUAGGGGGCAAGCGUUAUCCGGAUUUACUGGGUGUAAAGGGAGCGUAGACGGCGGUGCAAGCCAGAUGUGAAAGCCCGGGGCUCAACCCCGGGACUGCAUUUGGAACUGUGCUGCUAGAGUGUCGGAGAGGCAGGCGGAAUUCCUAGUGUAGCGGUGAAAUGCGUAGAUAUUAGGAGGAACACCAGUGGCGAAGGCGGCCUGCUGGACGAUGACUGACGUUGAGGCUCGAAAGCGUGGGGAGCAAACA
This 399-nucleotide ribosomal RNA is filed under the name uncultured bacterium. Its description in RNAcentral is "bacterial SSU rRNA". It matches the Rfam family "Bacterial small subunit ribosomal RNA", at positions 358 to 774 of the family's 1533-position model. The record is from RNAcentral.